AUGCGUCUGGUGAGGUUCCUGCUUACUAACACCACAGCUAAACUUGGCGUUGUAAUAAUCUAUUAAAAAAUAAGCCAGCCAGUCCUCAGCCUCGCAACUGUGAAUUCUCAGCUGAAUAAGGAAGUAUUUCAUUUUGUUUAAUUUGCAUAUUCAUGAAAUGCAAAUAUCAGAGUGGUAGGAAGUGUAUGGGGGAGGUGCCCCCAGCAGAAAACACUUGGUUGAAAAGUUGAUCACUGUGCCUUGGUGUGAAGGGCAUGAAGAUGACAGACGAAGAGACAUAAGGUCUGAUGAAAUUCAGAGGCAGUUCAUUCCAAAGAUCCAAGGACAGACAGAAAUGUGACAGCAGACACGUGGCAGCAGGCUAAGUGGGUGGAAUGAAGAGACACGUCUUUGUUUAAAGUUCAUUUGAGACUGGUGUCAGUAGAACAGCAGCGAGAGGGAAGGCGGAAAAACGUUGGCAGGAAAAGCGCUGAUCUUCACAUCACCCGUGGGGGAGCCUGCUGCAAAUCCAAACAUGUCCUUCAAAACUCACAUGCACAACUCUUUGUUUCUGCAGACAGCUCUGCAUGUUGGAGAAAACCGUGAUCGAGGUGCCAUGCUGCAAGCAAUGAUCUGGCCCUCACCAGAUGCCAACCUACCAGCACCUUCAUCUUGGACUUCCAGCCUCCAGAACCAUGAGAAAUCAAUUUCUAUUAUCCAUAAAUUACCCAGUCAAUGGGAUUUUCUUAUAACACCAGAAAUGAAUUAAGACAGCCCCAGAAGUUCCUAUAAGUCCAUAAAGAAUCCAGAACUUA
This is a non-coding RNA of Heterocephalus glaber (naked mole-rat), 794 nucleotides long. NCBI's taxonomy places the organism in Eukaryota, Metazoa, Chordata, Mammalia, Rodentia, Bathyergidae. The record is from RefSeq and is a predicted model, not a curated record.